GCGGAAGUAGUUCAGUGGUAGAAUACAACCUUGCCAAGGUUGGGGUCGCGGGUUCGAAGCCCGUCUUCCGCU
RNAcentral lists this transfer RNA (72 nucleotides) under Bacillus cereus. RNAcentral's name for it is "tRNA-Gly". It matches the Rfam family "tRNA". From Rfam's summary of the family: Transfer RNA (tRNA) molecules are approximately 80 nucleotides in length. Their secondary structure includes four short double-helical elements and three loops (D, anti-codon, and T loops). RNAcentral also lists the same sequence under 2 other names. Lineage: Bacteria; Bacillati; Bacillota; Bacilli; Caryophanales; Bacillaceae. The record is from RNAcentral.